ACUAUUUUGGCAGAAAAGUGUAAUGGUUUUAGAAGUCAUAAAUAUAUAAAUUAUUUAUAUAGGUAGUA
RNAcentral lists this transfer RNA (68 nucleotides) under Patania chlorophanta. RNAcentral describes it as "tRNA-Leu". Lineage: Eukaryota; Metazoa; Arthropoda; Insecta; Lepidoptera; Crambidae. The record is from RNAcentral.